AUGCAUGUGUGAAGAAUUGUCGCUGCGUAUCUACGAAAGGCAGCACACGGAUUACCACUUUGUCUCGUAAAUUUUAAAAUGUCAAGGAUGGAAGGUACUGUAAGAAGAAGUAACAAUCCAGAUAAUUUAGCAAUCAUCAUAACUCAUCAGAAUCGGCAGGAAUUUUCGAUCCUUCGUUUAAAAGUAAUUUAAGCCUUUCUUCAACUGCAUCAUAUUCUGUAAAAUAAUUUAGAUAUUAAACUUUAAUAUUUAUGUUAAAGCCUGCAAACGUUAUAUUAAUAUAAGUGUGAAGUGAUAAAUUCAAACUUAUUAAGUAUUCCAUGUCGUACAUUUAAGUAAACAUCUGUGCUUAAUAGUACGGACAAUGAAUGUCCAAAUAAGUGAUCGUCCCGCGCUUUCAUCACCAGUACUACUCAAUAAUAUAAUUCAUGCCGGUGCAAUCACGUUUACAUGAUGUUACAUGUGUUAAAACGAGAUGAGAAUUUUUAUUAUAAUUAUAAUAUUUACAAAGUUAAUUUUAAAAAUCUAUGGAAAUAUUUUAAUUUUUUCAUCUUAAAAUUCAUGCAACUUAUAAAUUAUUAAAACUUAUUUUUUUUAAAUAAAAUCAAGUAUUAGAUUUUACAAAAAUAAUGCCAACUGCAGUCAACUGUGAAAUGCAGAAAGUAAGUCGAGGCCGGUUAGUUUUAGAACUAACACUUUCAUUAGACAGAUGAAGAUAUAAUUUGUAUGUAAAUAUUAAAGUAAUUAUCACUAUUCUAUUUAAAAAUAAAAUUAAUGUUAACAGAAAAAAAAUAAUAAUAAUAAAAAUUAAAGUAACAUAAAUUAGUUAGUAAAAGUAUUGAUUAGAAAUUUAAAAAUAAUAAUUUUCAUAUAAUCUUACCGGUUUGUUCCACGUCUUUAGAUUUCUGAAACACGUAACUAUCACAGGUAAUUUUUUGAAACUUCAUAGUGGCGGUUAGUUAUAAAAAAAUUAUUUAUAAAAUUUUGAUUAUACCCUGAGUUAAAAGUAUACACAACUGUUCACAAGAAUAUCUGGUACAUACUGACCAUGUUGACUGUUAUAGCGGAAAAUAUAAACACGCGUGUUCAAGCAAGGCUGAUAAAGAAAAUUGCAAGAAACAUGAUGAAAACAAUGAAAUAGUACAGGAGAAACAACGAUACUCAUUGCAAGAACAGAGAAGACUUUUCUCUCAUCUGGCAAAUCAAGUAACUUAAACUCCUGCUUCUUGCUUGGCUGACUCUCUCUCUCUUUUCUUGUUACUUAUAGUCAGGAUGGAAGGGUGAAGAACGCGAUAUGUCGGCCAGCCACAUCUCUGGAGAAAGGUAUUGCGGUCUCCCUUCCUACCUCUUAUAGCUCUUACUAAAAUCCCGCCUCUGCUAAUUUACUCUUUUACCUCAAUGUCAUUUUGUAUUAAUUUUUUUUUAAUUUAAAUCACGAUUGAGCCAGUAAACCGGUUCACUAAAAAACAGCGGUUCACGACGAUAUAAAAAUUUAUACAGAAUUUGAAGUAAAAAAAUGUUUUUUUUUUUUUUUUUCCUCUUAUGAAACACAAUAAAAUAUAUAUCUUUUCAUUAAUUAUAAUUGAACAUGACAAAUGAUCAAAAGUACACAAUUUAACUCUGUCACCUCGUAAACAUAAAACACAAAAAAAUAUUUUUUUAUUACUAUUAAUUCUUGACAACUUUCAUGUAAUUGACUUCCUUGUUGAACAAAUUGAUUAUUAUUGUUGAUGACACUACAUUUAGAUAUAUAAAAUAAUUAUUUAUUCGGUUGAUUUCCGUCACCAGUCACAAAUACACAAUUAUUAUAACUCGUACGGAUGUUGGUUAAAAUAAUAUAAUAAAUAACAUAUUAUUUUAUUAGUUGACAGCGAAAGUCUAACGGAGGGAAAGCUUUUGUUACUAUUUACCGUGCAGCACAUUGUUAACUUGCCGUCAGAUUAACUCACUCUACAAUAAAUUCGUAUCCGUAGUUCACGAUAGCAAAGGUGAAAGUCAAGAAGAGUAGGUGAGAGUAUACACCUACUAAACACUUUGAUCCUGUUUCUUUUCUAUUUGUAACUAUUUCAUAUUUAAAUUAAUUACAGGCUUCCUCAUCAAUCAAAAGAUCUGUACAGUUAGAACCAUUGCUCUCUCAUAUGAUUAAUUAGGAAUCAAGUAUUGGAUCUUUGUGUUAAAGAUAAUUUAUAAAAUAAAAAACUUUUUUUUCAAAAAAGAAAAAUUUAACGUAUAUUGUAUAAUAGAUUACUAUUACAAUUGUAUAGUUGACUAUAAUAUAAACCACAGUAUCACUUAUCAUAUGAUAAUUAUAAAAUAACAUGAAUACGUUUAAGAGAAGAAAAUUUAAUUUUUAUAUAUCAACUUAUAUAGUUUGAAUUAAUGUGUGUAUAUAAUAAUAAUAAUAUAUAUGUAUACCUAUAAUUUAAAAAUUAAUUUACUUCGAAAGAUAUUAAUUUAACGAUAAUAUCGCGCAUUAAAAUUUAUGCAGUUUUUCGUUUGGUAAAAAGAUAGUUACUGUACAUAUACAUACAUCAAUUAAUAAUAAAUUUUUAGAAUGUCUUUGCGAUAAUUGGACACCCGGGAAGAUCUCGGCCUAAAAUCUAAUUGCAAAUAAUUUUGUGCUUAUUGAAAUUAUCAUCGUUACUAUUAUUACUAUUAUGUUUUAUGUUUGUUUUUAUUAUUAUUAUUAUUAUUAUUAUUAUAAAAAAAAAAAAACAGGCAGUAUUUCAUUAAAAUUCCAUUUAGUGCAGUAAUUACCUUUAAGAUAAUCACUGAAUAUGUGGAAGUAUUGUUUCAAAUAAUUUAUAAAGUAACAAAAUAGUAUGCUAAAAAUGUCAUCGAAGCACUCAUUUAUCAUUUGCUUUAUCAAUAAAGUUAUUCCUCAGUUAAACUUAAAAAGAGUCCACUAAAAAACAGCGCCUCUACUGAGGACUGUUUGACAGUUUGGCUACGCAGGUGUGACCCCACUUCCGUGUCCAGCAAUUCAUCUCUAGGACAUUGCUGGACCUAUAUUAUAAUCCAACCCAAAAAUAUUACUACGGUUUGAGUAUAUCAGUCUAGGGGGUUAGAACAUUUUGUAUGAUGACUAAUGCCUUCGACUGAUACCUGUAGCAAUAUUUGUUACAUGGGUUGGAAAUGUAGGUAAACUCUACUUAGAAUACCAAAGAUUCUUAUUACGUUUAAGUUAUCUAUAAUGAAAAAAUAAAUUUUUUAAAUUAAUCUCUCUUCACGUACAAAUAAGAGAGUCUUAUGCACCAAAAUUUAUUUGUUUUCACAGCCAAGCUGUACGCUAUCAAGAUCAUUGGUUAUACGAAUUCAUUAAUUAAAACUCAGUAUUCAAAUUCACUUUACUCUUUAUACCAUUCAGUGCAGCUCAAACUUUCUUUAUGUUUUAUCGUUAUCUUAAUACUUAUGGAAGAGCAUUCGAGCAAAAGUGCCUAAAAUUUUAUAUCUAAAUUGUCUUUAACGUUUAUCCACUUACUUUUUUUUUAACAUUUCUCGUCAAUUGUUCAUUUAUAAAAUUAUCUAUUUACAUUAAAAAAUGGAUUCUUAUUCUUAUUUAUGUAACUUAUAUAAUUACAUAUAAUGUAGACUAUCACUAAAAAACAGCGCCUCUACUGAGGACUAUCACGAAGGCACGAUACCGAUCUCACUCGUAUCUGUGCAAUCUUUAAUCGCUAUCUGAGCCGUUUCAUUUGUCAAUUCAUCCUGCGUUGAUGUCACAUCGGAUUUUCUCAAUAUUGUAUACACUUGAUAAACCUGUUCCUUAUUUUUCUUAAAAUUAUUAGCUUGUCCAUUAACUUUAGUUUCACGUUGUUUGCCAUUGUCUUCAGAUGUACCGGGAUUUAUUAUCGAUGCACUAUUAUUACAAUUAUUUAUGGUCUUUGAAAUUUUAUCAUCACUUUCUAUUUGUUUAUCAUUGUUAAAACCAUUUCGCUCGGAUUCAGAAACAAAUGGUUGUUCAUUUUUUUUUUCAAUCACUUUAUUCUCUAUAUUACUUGGCUGUUCAUUUUCAAUUCCUACACCAUUUUUAACAGUUUUACCAUUUUUCAACAACGAUUGACUAUCGUUAAAUGAUU
Molecule: long non-coding RNA, 4079 nt
Organism: Microplitis mediator
Lineage: Eukaryota; Metazoa; Arthropoda; Insecta; Hymenoptera; Braconidae
Exons: 2
Source: RefSeq, a predicted model, not a curated record